RNAcentral lists this transfer RNA (63 nucleotides) under Staphylinoidea sp. 12 KM-2017. RNAcentral describes it as "tRNA-Arg". Lineage: Eukaryota; Metazoa; Arthropoda; Insecta; Coleoptera. The record is from RNAcentral.
AAAUAAGAAACAAAUUAUUGUACUUAGUUUCGACCUAAGCCUUGAUGAAAUCAUCCUUAUUUA